This 434-nucleotide ribosomal RNA is filed under the name uncultured Oscillospiraceae bacterium. RNAcentral's name for it is "bacterial SSU rRNA". It matches the Rfam family "Bacterial small subunit ribosomal RNA", at positions 341 to 792 of the family's 1533-position model. Lineage: Bacteria; Bacillati; Bacillota; Clostridia; Eubacteriales; Oscillospiraceae. The record is from RNAcentral.
ACGGAAGGCAGCAGUGGGGAAUAUUGGGCAAUGGGCGCAAGCCCGACCCAGCAAUGCCGCGUGAAGGAAGAAGGCUUUCGGGUUGUAAACUUCUUUUAAGUGGGACGAUAAUGACGGUACCACUUGAAUAAGCUCCGGCUAACUACGUGCCAGCAGCCGCGGUAAUACGUAGGGAGCAAGCGUUAUCCGGAUUUACUGGGUGUAAAGGGCGUGUAGGCGGGACAUCAAGUCAGAUGUGAAAGCAUGAGGCUCAACUUCGUGUCUGCAUUUGAAACUGACGUUCUUGAGUGUUGGAGAGGCUAACGGAACUCCUAGUGUAGCGGUGAAAUGCGUAGAUAUUAGGAAGAACACCAGUGGCGAAGGCGGUUAGCUGGACAAUAACUGACGCUGAGGCGCGAAAGCGUGGGUAGCAAACAGGAUUAGAUACCCUGGUA